GGAAUAUUGGUCAAUGGACGCAAGUCUGAACCAGCCAUGCCGCGUGAAGGAUGAAGGUCCUCUGGAUUGUAAACUUCUUUUAUAGGGGAAGAAACCGGAAAAUUCUUUUUCCGUUGACGGUACCCUAGGAAUAAGCACCGGCUAACUCCGUGCCAGCAGCCGCGGUAAUACGGAGGGUGCAAGCGUUAUCCGGAUUCACUGGGUUUAAAGGGUGCGUAGGUGGGGCUGUAAGUCAGUGGUGAAAUCUCCAAGCAUAACUUGGAAACUGCCGUUGAUACUAUAGCUCUUGAAUGUUGUGGAGGUGAGCGGAAUAUGUCAUGUAGCGGUGAAAUGCUUAGAUAUGACAUAGGACACCAAUUGCGAAGGCAGCUCACUACACAAAUAUUGACACUGAGGCACGAAAGCGUGGGGAUCAAACAGGAUUAGAUACCCCAG
Molecule: ribosomal RNA, 435 nt
Filed under: uncultured Flavisolibacter sp.
Lineage: Bacteria; Pseudomonadati; Bacteroidota; Chitinophagia; Chitinophagales; Chitinophagaceae
Description: bacterial SSU rRNA
Rfam family: Bacterial small subunit ribosomal RNA
Source: RNAcentral